This 461-nucleotide ribosomal RNA is filed under the name uncultured bacterium. Its description in RNAcentral is "bacterial SSU rRNA". It matches the Rfam family "Bacterial small subunit ribosomal RNA", at positions 15 to 518 of the family's 1533-position model. The record is from RNAcentral.
GAUUAUGGCUCAAGAACGAACGCUGGCGGCAGGCUUAACACAUGCAAGUCAAGGGGGUGUAGCAAUACACAACCGGCGCACGGGUGAGUAACGCGUGGGAAUAUGUCCAUUUGUGGGGAAUAGCUUCUGGAAACGGAAGGUGAUACCGCAUACGCCCUACGGGGGAAAGAUUUAUCGCAGAUGGAGUGGCCCGCGUUAGAUUAGCUAGUUGGUGGGGUAACGGCUUACCAAGGCGAUGAUCUAUAGCUGGUCUGAGAGGACGAUCAGCCACAUUGGGACUGAGACACGGCCCAGACUCCUACGGGAGGCAGCAGUAAGGAAUAUUGGACAAUGGGGGAAACCCUGAUCCAAGCCAUGCCGCGUGAGUGAAGAAGGCCUUCGGGUUGUAAAGCUCUUUUGUACGGGAAGAUGAUGACGGUACCGUAAGAAUAAGCACCGGCUAACUUCGUGCCAGCAGCAGC